GACGAACGCUGGCGGCGUGCCUAAUACAUGCAAGUCGAACGCAUUUUCUUUCACCUUGGCUUGCUACCCCGAACGAAAAUGAGUGGCGAACGGGUUGGUAACCCUUCGUCAACCUGCCCAACAGCGGCGGAAAACACUUGGAAACAGGUGCUAAUACCGCAUAAUUCCAUUUUCCGCAUGGAAGGGGGGUGUAAGUCGCUCUUGCGUCACUGUUCGAUGGACCUGCGGUGCAUUAGCGGGUUGGGGGGGUAACGGCCUACCAAGGCUGCGAUGCAUAGCCGACCUGAGAGGGUGAUCGGCCACACUGGGACUGAGACCCGGCUCAGACUCCUACGGGAGGCAGCAGUAGGGGAUCUUCGGGAAUGGAGGGAAGUCUGACCGAGCAACGCCGCGGGAGGGAAGAAGGUUCUCGGAUCGUAAAACUCUGUUGUUAGGGAAGAACAAGGAGGGGAGUGGAAAGUGCAUCCCUUGACGGUAUCUAACCAGAAAGCCACGGCUAACUACGUG
Molecule: ribosomal RNA, 507 nt
Filed under: uncultured bacterium
Lineage: Bacteria
Description: partial 16S ribosomal RNA
Rfam family: Bacterial small subunit ribosomal RNA
Source: RNAcentral